AUGUAUACAGAUUUGAUCAACACCAGGUCUAUCCCGCAGACCAUACACAUUUGGAAAAUUAUGGUGCCAUUGAAAAUCAAAAUGUUUAUGUGGUUUGUGCAUAAGGGAGUAAUCUUGACAAAGGAUAAUUUGGCCAAGCAUAGUUGGGAAGGAAGUAAAAGAUACUGCUUUUGUGAUAAGGAUGAAACAAUACAACAUCUUUUUAUCCCAUGUCCACUUACUAAGCUACUGUGGAGAACGAUCCACGUGGCUUUUAACGUUAUUCCGUCCAGUACGAUAUCACAUUUAUUUGGGACUUAG
This 300-nucleotide ribosomal RNA is filed under the name Triticum aestivum (bread wheat). RNAcentral describes it as "partial small subunit ribosomal RNA". The record is from RNAcentral. Lineage: Eukaryota; Viridiplantae; Streptophyta; Magnoliopsida; Poales; Poaceae.